Molecule: non-coding RNA, 321 nt
Organism: Sinocyclocheilus grahami
Lineage: Eukaryota; Metazoa; Chordata; Actinopteri; Cypriniformes; Cyprinidae
Source: the annotation of a RefSeq genome assembly
GUGCCAGUAACGGAGAUACUAUUACAUCAGACAAAACAGUGGAGUUUGUUGCAGAGGGUUCAAAUGUUACAUUAUCCUGCAGUUAUUCAUCUGCAUGGUCUUUACUUUGGUACCGUCAGUAUCCCAGAUCAGCUCCUGAGUUCCUUGUGCUCAUCUCAGACAGUGCAAAUCAAGCUCAGACGUCUGAUGUAGAUCAAAGAUUCAGUUCUAAAAUCAGAAAAGAAAAACAAAAUCAUGUGGCUCUGAAGAUCUCCUCUGCAGCUCUGAAAGACUCUGCUCUGUACUACUGUGCGCUGAGGCCCACAGUGACAGGAAGCAAAA